Anolis carolinensis (green anole) is the source of this 5545-nucleotide long non-coding RNA. RefSeq lists it as uncharacterized. NCBI's taxonomy places the organism in Eukaryota, Metazoa, Chordata, Lepidosauria, Squamata, Anolidae. The record is from RefSeq and is a predicted model, not a curated record. The transcript is spliced from 2 exons.
UUUUCUUCUUUAUUCUUUUUCAGUAGUUUUUUCCUUUAAUUAUCUAUUUUUGUUUUUUUUUUAAAAAAUCCUUUAUUCCCCACUUUUUUCUUUGGGCAGAGUAUUGAAUUUAUCUUUUGUUUGUUUUUUGUUUUGUUUGUGUUUUGUAAUGAUAUAGUACAAUAUAGUAAUUUAAUGCUAGAAUUGUACUAUGCUAAUAAUAUAAUGUAUUGUAUGUGAAUGUAAUUUUUAAGCCACUCUGAGUCCCCUUUGGGCGGCAUAUAAAUGUAAAUAAAUAAAUAAAUAAAAAUGUAUUAUUUUUAAAAAUUAAGAUGAUAAUGAUAGUAAAUUCCCCUGUAUCUCCCUCUAGCUAGAUUUCCCUUUAUUUUGUUAUUAUUUUUAUUUUUAUUACUUUGUUAAUUUGAUUUGAUUUGCAUUAUUUUAGUUCGAUUAUAUUAUUGGGUUAAUUUGAUUUAUAUAUAUUGAUUCUAUUUCCUUCCCUGAGUAUCUAUUCUUAUUUUUGUCAAUGUCUUAAUUGAUACAUUAAGUAUCUGAGUGUAUCUCUUAAUUUUGUUUGGUAUAUCUUGUUUCUUUCUUCUCUUUCUCUUCUUUUCUAUUUAUUUUCUUUCCUUUCCUUUAUUUUUUUGUUAUUUUUAUUAUUUUAUAUUAUUUUAUUUUACAUUAUAUUAUUAUUUUUAUUUUAUUAUUAUUAUUAUUAUUAUUAUUAUUAUUAUUAUUAUUAUUUAUUUUAAUUGUUUUUAUUAUUUUAUUUUGUGUUUAAUCCAAAUUCUUUGCUUCCUGCACUAAAGGGGGGAAACAGUUAAUUGUUCGGGUCCAAUCUUGGUUGUUGUUUUUUUUGUCUCUCCGUGAUUUAAAUUUGCUUAUGUUGCAUUUGAUCUCCCCCCCCUCCAGUGAAACACCAAAGGAAAAAAGAAAAAAAGGAAAAAAAAGGAAAAAAAACAACUAUCACAGUAGUUAUGAUCAGAAAGGCAAAAGUUACUAAAGAAUUAUCAGCAAGGGGAACCUGAUGUGUUCUCUUCUGCUUUCCUUCUUCUUUUCUCUCCCUUCGUCUGUCAGUCCCUCGCCUCUGUGGACCAGUGUCUAUUUGUUAUCUCUUGCUUUCUAUAUCCUUGCUCCUAGUGUUGUAAUAUAGACUUGCUUCCGCCCUUACUGUGUCCUGGUCUCCAACGUCACCCAAACACCGUUGUGGCCUCGCUGUGUCACCGCGUCUCACCACACCACACACCUCACUCUGCAUCACCCUGCCUCUCCUCCUCUCGCAUAACCCUGCCGCUCUCCUUCUCCCACGUCUCUCUCACUCCUGUUUUGUAUUUUUUUGUAUUUACUUUCGGUUGGGCCCUCUGGUUCUCACUGUCUCCCUCACUAUCGCUGCUGCCCCCCUUCAGCUGCUGCACCCUAACCAUGCAGAUCUCCCAGACGGUUCUCCCUUCCUUGCGCCUCGUCCCUACGUUGUCGCCUCCAGCCUUCCAUCCAGCGGAGAAUUCCAGCCCUCCCUGGAUUUCCUCUUUUUCUGACCCUAUGAUCUUGGACAAUGCUGUAUCAACACUGGCUACAAAGGACAGUUCUGGGGUAGCAUUUCCCCAUUAACCUUGCUGUUGAAACAUGCUCGGUUUUGUUGUCGUUGUCUAAUCCUUCUCUAUUGCUCCUUUAGUAUGUGAUUCAAAGGUCACAAAUACAUGGGAAUGAUGCAGUGUGCCUUACAGAAGCCCCCUAAUAAUUCUACAGCCAUUUGUAUAAUGUCUACAGAUUAUCUGCAGUGUACUCUUAAUGUUGAAGUGACACAUUAAUCUCAGCUCAUAUUCCCUGUUGAUGGUCCUGAGUUCUGAGAUAUUUAUUAUUUUGAAGAGACUCUAGUUUGAUGAGUGGUGAUAGAGUACAAUUUUAUUUGUUUCUUUAAGGAACUGUGUUUACAUUGUUAUUUCUCCAACUAGUUCAAUAUUGUUCCUAGAAUAUAUUAUUCAGCUAAUUUGUGCAUAAUUUGUUGUAUUUCAUUAUUUUUAGAUAUAUUUGCUUCUACUUCUUCAUUACCCUUUUUCAUCGCUAUGACAUUAUAUGAAGUGAUUUUUCAGCCAAAUACAAGUCUACAAGGCCUUUUAGUAGCAUUGUGUCUACUAGGCAUGCCCGAUCAAUGAAAAAAAUGUUUCAAUUCUCGUUUCUAAAGUAGGGGGCGCUGGCGCUUCAAUAUAAAAAGUAUUUCUGAUUUUUUCACCCAAAAAAUUAGGAUAUUUCCAAAAAAUUGUAAUGAUUCUAAAUGUUUUUAAAAUGGCAGACGCGCAUGCGCAAUCACAAAGAAAAAGGAACCGGGGGGGGGGGGGGACUUUUACAGGGCUCUCCCACCCUCAUAUCUUGAGCUAUCCUCAUCAAAUUUGCAAUGCCCUUACAAGUUGUGCAAAGAUACUUUGAAAACUAGAAAUUCCCUUGCUAUAUUUGUAAACAAGAAGGACAUUGGAAAUCAAUGGUGUCUCUGGCUCUGUAAUCCCAGAAGCCUCAAUCCAAUGCCUUCCAUUAGAAAUGGACCAGUGACCACCACGCCAAGCAAUGCCCUGGCAAGGAGUGCAAAGAUACUUUGAAAACUAGAAAUUCCCUUGCUAAGAGAAAGAACCAUGUUAGGCUGAGCUAAGCUCCCAUUUAAGGUAGGUUGCAGAAACUAAAAAAAAUUAAAAAUAUAUAUUUAAAAACACGUUAAAAAAUUGGGGGGGGGGAUAACAAAACAUUAAGAGACAAUUAGAGAAUGGGCCAACAAUGGUUCGAAUUACAUUGCUGGUUACGCUGUGAGACAAUGUCUUGGAAUGCGUAUCAAAAAGCGAGAACAAUCCGAAAUAAUUCCGAUAUACGAUUCAAAACGAUUUUUUGGACAUGUCUAGUGUCUACAAUGUUUGAUCAUUAUUAGCUAUAAAGGAUAUAUCUAGGAUUGGCAUUUCUUUGGCAAACUCAGAGUUUCCGAUCUUCUCUACCUCUCUAUCCUCUUUGAAGUAAACUUCUUUAGUUCUUUCAUGACUUCCUUUCUUGCAUUCUUCUGUUGUUCUUUCCACUUCCGCUUCUCUUUAUGUUUUCUCCUUAUGCCCUCAUUUCCGUUCUCUGCCACUCUAUCUUUCCCCUGCAGGCCUGUUUGGUUCUGUUUUGUCACUUCCUUUCUUCUCCUUCAUUUCUACACCCUGCAGCCUUUUUUCUCAGGUUCUGUUGCGUCAGUUCUGGCCUCUCUUCUCUUCUUCUUCAACUGUAUUGUUGUUUCUUUCAUUUAACAAAGCUCUGGGAUAGACACAACAAUUUCUCCUCAAGAUCAGCCUGUUUAUUUAUCGCAUUUUAAUGGCAUCUUUCUUAAAUUCAUCACACUAGAAAGUUUCAGCCUCCCAAAUCUCUUUCCUUUUUUUUCCUUUUCAAAUCCCCCAGAUUGCCAUAUUCCGAUUCUGAUCUUGGUUUUAAUUCAAUUUUUUUGUAAGUCCCUUUAUAGUUUAACAGUCUCACUGUUUUCAGCCUCUUAUACUGCUGGGAUAAGCCUCUGAAUAGAUUUUUUUCAUGUCACAGUUUUGUUGAGCCAGUUCCUCGGCUCUCCUUUUUCUUUCUUUUGAAAAUGAGCACUGGCCAGCUGUUUUCUGAGGCUCCAGAUGAAGCUUCAGUUUGCCCUGUCACGAUCCAAUAUGCCCUGUGGAGGACACCUUAUCCGGGUCGUUCAGGCUUUGCUGUCCUUUCAACCUCAGUCCACCAAAAAAAGGGAGCUACUGCUCUACCCAAUUGCUCGACAGGGCUGACACUUCCGAGAGCUCUCAGCCACCUUAUGGCAUUCUGAGCUUGAUGUAUUUAGGGGCUUCUACAGCAGACUGGAGAGGUGUCCAUUGAAUCUCAAGGGAGGCUGGAACAUUGCAGGCUGUGAAGAGCAGGGGAUGAGUUCCCAGAGGAGAGGCUCCCAUUCUCAACAGAAAGUACUCAGGCUUUCCCGAGACUGGUAGGCUAAUUUGUCCACUUUAAAAUAUUCACCUAAUAUAUUUUUCCAGGUCAAAGUCUACCAGCAGAGACAAUACAGACUGACAAGAAACAUUCCUUUUUCCAGGUCACAUCAGUAUUUCUCUGCCAAUUGGCGUAUAUAUCCAAAAUACAGUUGAGCUAGAUUCUAGGAAACAAAGCUUCCAGGCUAAACCUUUGUGUAUUCAGACAGGCUUUAAAAAUGAAAUAGUUUCUCCUGCAACAAAUCCUUUAACCUGCCUUGUUCACCUUCCUGUUCAUUCAAAUUCCCCUCCUUCCAAGCUUUCUGCCUCUUGCCCCCAGCCCUUUAACUCAUUUCAGGGAGAGGAAAAUUAGGAGACAACUGUCUUAUGUGUUGAGUUCAACAGGCAUAUACUGCUAUCUCAACAAUCUCAUUUUAGGUAAUAUUACACCAUUAAAAGGGGCCCCUGGUGGCACAGUGUGUUAAAGCACUGAGCUGCUGAACUUGCGGACCAAAAGGUCCCAGGUUCAAAUCCCAGGAGUGGAAUGAGCGCCCGCUGUUAGCCCCAGCUCCUGUCAACCUAGCAGUUCGAAAACAUGCCAAUGUGAGUAGAUCAAUAGGUACCGCUCUGGCGGGAAGGUAACGGCGCUCCAUGCAGUCAUGCCGGCCAUAUGACCUUGAAGGUGUCUACAGACAACGCCGGCUCUUCGGCUUAGAAAUGGAGAUGAGCACCAACCCCCAGAGUCGGUCAUGACUGGACUUAACAUCAGGGGAAACCUUUACCUUUUUUUUUACACCAUUAAAAGGGGUGGGACUUAUUUCAGCUACCAAGAUGUUCAGGUGUCAUGUUCUCCUAUCUUUACAUCAGCCAAAUCUUCAUCCCAUUAUUUUCCACACUUCUACUGGCAUUAUUUCCUUUAUAAAAUAACAAUGACAUUGUCAUUGAAUAUCAGUAGCAUAACUGAAAUCUACUAUGUUCUGAUAUGAACAAAUGUGUGUUAAUCACAGAAUUUCCCUGUUCGAACAGAAUACAUACUCAAGCAAAUUGGUUUCCUUGGGUCCCAUGCCAGUAAAAGGUGGCAUAUAAAACAAUACAAUAAUAACUAAUUACAGGCCUACUUCUAUUAACAAAGCAUCUGACAAAGAAGCUCCUUUUUGAAAACUGUUUGUACAGUGACUGAAACCCAUUUUCACCUCCUCAUCAGUAUAGUUCAAAGUGUUUUGCUGUUGUUUUUUAAACAAAUAUGUAUAUAUGUAUAUAUACAUAAACCAAUACAAUACAAUACUACCUAACAUAUAUACAAUAUUCAUAUUUGGCUAUACUCUUCCACCCCUCCCAUUUUAGUGACCCUUGGGUUGAAGACAUUCAUAUAAAAUUCCAUUCUUCCUUCCUAUUACAUUGUUUUUCUGUUUUUCCUUCUGGCCUAAUAUUUAUUGUUUAUAAAUUCCCUUCACAGAUUCUAACAGAUUAAAUUAUGAAGCCUUCUAAAAAAAACUUUUUUACAAUGUUUAAAAAUGGCUCUUAGUCCUUGUUGAAGUUUUUUGUGUUUUUUCUUUGUUCAUCAUGUUAAUUUGUCCAUUUCUGCUAUUAUAAAUACUUUAACAAGUCAUUCUUCUAUUGUC